RNAcentral lists this unclassified non-coding RNA (325 nucleotides) under Hevea brasiliensis (rubber tree). The record is from RNAcentral. Lineage: Eukaryota; Viridiplantae; Streptophyta; Magnoliopsida; Malpighiales; Euphorbiaceae.
GCGAUGUUGAAAAACUUGAAGAGGCCUUGAAUGGUAGUGGUUCAUCUGAAACUCAACCAUUCCGUGAUUCAAUUUCCAAGAAAGAAAAGCAAAAGAGAUUGUGGAAGAAGGUGAAUAACCAGCUGGUGGAGUAUCAUUCCUUGCCUGGCUAUUUGAAAGACAAUGAAUUCAUUCUUGGUCAUUACCGAUGCGAAUGGCCAGUGAAGCAGGCUUUACUCAGUGUUUUCACUAUUCACAAUGAGACUCUCAAUAUUUGGACGCAUUUGAUAGGAUUCUUUCUCUUCCUUGUGCUAACUAUAUAUACUGCAAAGAAGGUCCCGGAUAU